This 491-nucleotide ribosomal RNA is filed under the name uncultured bacterium. Its description in RNAcentral is "partial 16S ribosomal RNA". It matches the Rfam family "Bacterial small subunit ribosomal RNA", at positions 28 to 507 of the family's 1533-position model. The record is from RNAcentral.
GAUGAACGCUCGCUACAGGCUUAACACAUGCAAGUCGAGGGGAAACGAUGAGAGAGCUUGCUCUCUUAGUCGUCGACCGGCGCACGGGUGAGUAACGCGUAUCCAACCUGCCUCUGACCAAGGGAUAACCCGUCGAAAGUCGGACUAAUACCUUAUGCAGUCGUCGGAAGUCAUCUGAUGACGACGAAAGAUUUCAUCGGUGAGAGAUGGGGAUGCGUCUGAUUAGCUUGUUGGCGGGGUAACGGCCCACCAAGGCGACGAUCAGUAGGGGUUCUGAGAGGAAGGUCCCCCACAUUGGAACUGAGACACGGUCCAAACUCCUACGGGAGGCAGCAGUGAGGAAUAGUGGUCAAUGGGCGUAAGCCUGAACCAGCCAAGUAGCGUGCAGGAGGACGGCCCUAUGGGUUGUAAACUGCUUUUAUGCGGGGAUAAAGUGAGGGACGUGUCCUUCAUUGCAGGUACCGCAUGAAUAAGGACCGGCUAAUUCCGUG